This 492-nucleotide ribosomal RNA is filed under the name uncultured bacterium. RNAcentral's name for it is "partial 16S ribosomal RNA". It matches the Rfam family "Bacterial small subunit ribosomal RNA", at positions 29 to 507 of the family's 1533-position model. The record is from RNAcentral.
AGUGAACGCUGGCGGUAGGCCUAACACAUGCAAGUCGAACGGCAGCACAGUAAGAGCUUGCUCUUACGGGUGGCGAGUGGCGGACGGGUGAGGAAUAUAUCGUACUCUACUUUUUCGGGUGGGAUAACGUAGGGAAACUUACGCUAAUACCGCAUACGACCUACGGGGGUAAGCAGUGGAUCUUUGGACCUUGUGCGAUUGAAUGAGCCGAUGUCGGAUUAGCUGGUUGGCGGGGUAAAGGCCCACCAAGGCGACGAUCCGUAGCUGGUCGGAGAGGAUGGUCGGCGGCACUGGAAGUGAGCCACGGUCCAGACGCCUGCGGGAGGCAGCAGUGGGGAAUAGUGGGCAAUGGGCGCAAGCCUGGUCCAACCGUCCCGCGUGGGAGGAGAAGGCCUUCCGGUUGUAAAACCGUUUUGUGGGGAAAGAAAAGCAGCAGGUUAAUACCCCGCUGUUCUGACGGUACCCAAAGAAUAAGCACCGGCUAACUUCGUG